Molecule: ribosomal RNA, 624 nt
Filed under: bacterium DR2A-7G10
Lineage: Bacteria
Description: bacterial SSU rRNA
Rfam family: Bacterial small subunit ribosomal RNA
Source: RNAcentral
UGUUGGUGGGGUGAUGGCCUACCAAGGCGACGACGGGUAGCCGGCCUGAGAGGGUGUCCGGCCACACUGGGACUGAGAUACGGCCCAGACUCCUACGGGAGGCAGCAGUGGGGAAUAUUGCACAAUGGGCGCAAGCCUGAUGCAGCGACGCCGCGUGGGGGAUGACGGCCUUCGGGUUGUAAACCUCUUUCAGUACCGACGAAGCGUAAGUGACGGUAGGUACAGAAGAAGCACCGGCCAACUACGUGCCAGCAGCCGCGGUAAUACGUAGGGUGCGAGCGUUGUCCGGAAUUACUGGGCGUAAAGAGCUCGUAGGUGGUUUGUCGCGUUGUUCGUGAAAACCUGAGGCUUAACCUUGGGCGUGCGGGCGAUACGGGCAGACUGGAGUACUGCAGGGGAGACUGGAAUUCCUGGUGUAGCGGUGGAAUGCGCAGAUAUCAGGAGGAACACCGGUGGCGAAGGCGGGUCUCUGGGCAGUAACUGACGCUGAGGAGCGAAAGCGUGGGGAGCGAACAGGAUUAGAUACCCUGGUAGUCCACGCCGUAAACGGUGGGUACUAGGUGUGGGUUUCCUUCCUUGGGAUCCGUGCCGUAGCUAACGCAUUAAGUACCCCGCCUGGGGAGU